RNAcentral lists this transfer RNA (74 nucleotides) under Acetobacteraceae bacterium. It matches the Rfam family "tRNA". From Rfam's summary of the family: Transfer RNA (tRNA) molecules are approximately 80 nucleotides in length. Their secondary structure includes four short double-helical elements and three loops (D, anti-codon, and T loops). The record is from Rfam by way of RNAcentral. Lineage: Bacteria; Pseudomonadati; Pseudomonadota; Alphaproteobacteria; Acetobacterales; Acetobacteraceae. RNAcentral also lists the same sequence under 1 other name.
GUCCGCAUAGCUCAGUAGGAUAGAGCACAGGAUUCCUAAUCCUGGGGCCGUUGGUUCGAAUCCAACUGUGGACA